Molecule: long non-coding RNA, 2753 nt
Filed under: Homo sapiens (human)
Lineage: Eukaryota; Metazoa; Chordata; Mammalia; Primates; Hominidae
Description: HSALNT0100056
Source: RNAcentral
CUUUUCCCGCACCGGUGGCCGGACUCUGCAUGAGUCACCGCCUGCCUGCAAGCCCAGAGCUCGCCGCACCCCCCUGCCUCUCCGCACCGUCCCACAGGCUGUGACCCUCCACCCAGCCAUAGACGGUUCUGCUCUUGGCACAAAGGAGGGCUUCUUAGCCGGGAAUAUGGCUGCCCGGGAGGGGCGACUUCUGUGCUUGUUUUUCCUUCCUGGCACUGAAAACAAGCACAUCCACCCAACAAAUAAAGACGCGGUCAAUGAAAGCAGCUGUGUUUCAAGGGGAGACAGGGAGCAAGCCAAGGAAUAAAUGAAAAGACCCAGUGACAAAAUGCCCAUUCAUCGGGUUCACUCGGCAAACAUUUACUGAAGCAUCUGUGUGCCAGGCACUGUCCUGAGUGCUGGGAAGACACAAAGAUGCCCUUCAGAACGAUGACCCCCGCCUCGCCCUCCGCUGGAACCGGGAGGCAGACACACACAUAAAUACGACACAGUCAACCGUCCCCAGUUCACAGCAUCUAAAGGAGCUAGGAAUGCAUGGGAUGCUUAUGGAAUGUGCGAGAACACGGAGACAAAGUCUCACUGUGUUCCCAGGCUGAUCCCCAACUCCUGAGCUCAAGCCAGCCACCAGCCUUGGCCUCCCAAAGUGCUGGGAUUACAGGCGUGAGCCACCACGCCGGGCCCAGAUGAACAGAGAAAAGAGGAAGGUAUGGAAAAGAGUGAAAUUGGCAUAAAAAAUCCAAUAAAGGGCAACGAGCAGGAAACAACAAAAACAUGGGAAACUGCCGACCUGAGGAAUCGCGCUCUUCUAACUUUACAGCUUCACCUGCCGUGUUUGCUCCUGGAGGACUGAGACUUUUGUCUGAUUCGUCUGCUGCUGUCUUCCCGAUGCCUAGAACACUGCCUGAUGCACGGGAAGUAUUUGUCAGAUACAUCCCAUGGCUUCUAAUGCCAUUUGCAAGGAUGAAAGCUGGGUGUGCCCGGCUGUACGGCAAUACUUCCAAAGGCCUGUAGGACUCCCCAGUGACUGUCCCAUUCACCAGGAGGAGGACUGCAGUCACCUGCAUUGUCCUGGGAAGGUCAGCCAGGCCUUUUCCCAAUGUCUGUCUGGGAAAAGCCCCGGUGUAGUCUGCUCGGUCCUACACCCAGAAUCACGGGGGCUUCAGGAGCAGGCAUUACGAGGCAAGGAGUAGCUUCUCCCCCUCACCUCCCACUCAGCAGAACGCACUAGCCCUGUGCUCUUCUGAUCCUGAAGGCAGCUGAGUCUGAAAAGUUCCUGUACCUUUAAAGGUACUAGAGGCAGUGUGGUGCCCACUCAGGAACUGCAUGAUUUAAAUAGGUUUCUAGGAUAAAGGCAACUCGUAGCACAAAGGAACAAGUCCCAGGGAGUGGCAUUCCAGAUCAUUUGAUUCCUGAGCGAAGGAAUUAUUAUGGUGUGGAGGUGGGGACCUCCUUACUACAUUCCAAAUUGCAAUAAGGUUGUAAGGGUUUUCUCUUCCAUUCUGAAGUACUUUGACAAUAGUUUUGAACUUCAAAAAUGUUUAUUAAAGGUGUUUUCACAGCAGUUUCAUAAUGUUUAAUUUGUUAAUUACUGGAAUUGAUGCUAAAUAAAACAGGCAAGUAAUACUUCAGAUGGCUUCAUCUUCAGAGUCUUCUUCAUGUGUGACUCAAAAUGCACAAUUUUGGCCGGGCACAGUGGCUCACGCCUGUAAUCCCAGCACUUUGGGAGGCUGAGACAGGCGGAUCACCUGAGGUCAGGAGUUUGAGACCAGUUUGGCCAACAUGGUGAAACCCCAUCUCUACUAAAAAUACAAAAAUUAGAUGGGCAUGGUGGUGUGUGCCUGUAAUCCCAGCUGCUUGGGAAGCUGAGGCAGGAGAAUUGAUUGAACCCAAGAGGCGGGGCUUGCAGUGAGCCGAGAUCCCGCUCCAGCCUGGGCAACAAGAGCGAGACUCCGUCUCAAAAAAAGAAAAAAAAAGCACAAUUUCAGGACAGCCUAAGCAAAUAAAAAAUGGGAAAUGGAAAUGGAUUCGAAGCAGGGAGGACGUUCCGCCCACUGUCACACCGAAGGAAUGGUGGAGGCUGUGAGUCCUCCGCCCACUGUCACACCGAAGGAUGGUGGAGGCUGUGAGUCCUCCUGUAAGCCGCCGCUGGAGAAGGGGCAGCUCUGGAACCUGACGACAUUCUCCUAUCUUGCAUGAGGUGGAGACAAAGAGUCCUUCUGCGCUGGGACAGGAUGAGGGCGAAGUGGUGACUUCAGGUCAGAAGCAGAGCCUUGGGGACCUCUGAUUCUCAAGGGCGAGCUCCCUCCAGAACCCCAAGAGAUGGCCCUGACUGCAUGGGAAAGCGUGUCUCACCAUUGCAAUGUUCUCUAAGUCUGGAGGAGGCGGAGCCCAGUGAGAAUGACAGGCAGACCGCAAGGAGGCCCGGAAGCCCCCCAUGGCGAGGAUGCAUCCAAGUGUAUUCUGUAGGAGUGACCAGUGGCCACGUGGGUAGUGGGCAGAGCUUGUUUUCCUCCAAUAUCAGCGUACAGAGCAGGGGAGCCUGGUGAAGGUUUCUCUCUGAAAUCAUGGAUUCAGCUGUAUUAGUUUCUAUCCAAGGCUGGCAUAGCUCACCUUCCACUCCAGCAAUGACCUCGGGCCAGCUGUCACGAGCCUUCUCACCACGAGGAUGGUCUGGGGUGGUGAGAUCUCACUGUUGGCCAUAAUUCAUUCAACAUUUCUUCACUUCUCUGCUUAAUUUUGGUCGAAUGUCAUGC